UACGUAGGGGGCAAGCGUUGUCCGGAUUUAUUGGGCGUAAAGAGCGUGUAGGCGGCCAGGUAGGUGGGUUGUGAAAACUGGAGGCUCAACCUUCAGACGUCGACCCAAACCCCUGGCUAGAGUCCGGAAGAGGAGAGUGGAAUUCCUGGUGUAGCGGUGAAAUGCGCAGAUAUCAGGAAGAACACCCGUGGCGAAGGCGGCUCUCUGGGACGGUACUGACGCUGAGACGCGAAGCGU
RNAcentral lists this ribosomal RNA (237 nucleotides) under uncultured bacterium. RNAcentral describes it as "partial 16S ribosomal RNA". It matches the Rfam family "Bacterial small subunit ribosomal RNA", at positions 524 to 762 of the family's 1533-position model. The record is from RNAcentral.